AUUGAACGCUGGCGGCAGGCCUAACACAUGCAAGUCGAGCGGAUGAAGGGAGCUUGCUCCUGGAUUCAGCGGCGGACGGGCGAGUAAUGCCUAGGAAUCUGCCUGGUAGUGGGGGAUAACGUCCGGAAACGGGCGCUAAUACCGCAUACGUCCUGAGGGAGAAAGUGGGGGAUCUUCGGACCUCACGCUAUCAGAUGAGCCUAGGUCGGAUUAGCUAGUUGGUGGGGUAAAGGCCUACCAAGGCGACGAUCCGUAACUGGUCUGAGAGGAUGAUCAGCCACACUGGAACUGAGACACGGUCCAGACUCCUACGGGAGGCAGCAGUGGGGAAUAUUGGACGAUGGGCGAAAGCCUGAUCCAGCCAUGCCGCGUGUGUGAAGAAGGUCUUCGGAUUGUAAAGCACUUUAAGUUGGGAGGAAGGGCAGUAAGUUAAUACCUUGCUGUUUUGACGUUACCAACAGAAUAAGCACCGGCUAACUUCGUG
RNAcentral lists this ribosomal RNA (484 nucleotides) under uncultured bacterium. RNAcentral's name for it is "partial 16S ribosomal RNA". It matches the Rfam family "Bacterial small subunit ribosomal RNA", at positions 30 to 507 of the family's 1533-position model. The record is from RNAcentral.